AGCUACUCCUUUUGUUUUUAUAUCCCAAAGAUGACACUAAAGAGAAUAUUAGCAUGGCCCCUGCUUAAGGAUGAUAGGCAAAUACGUGAAGCGGAAAAAAAAUAU
This 105-nucleotide small nuclear RNA is filed under the name Myotis davidii. The record is from RNAcentral. Lineage: Eukaryota; Metazoa; Chordata; Mammalia; Chiroptera; Vespertilionidae.